AAAUAUAGCCGAAUGUUCCCGAAAGGGACGCUGGAAGGUUGACUUUGCAUAAACGGCCACCUUUGGUCAUUUUUUUAGAUUUUCGGUCAAUUGACCCACACAGCCCUAGAAUCUUCAUCCCCGCGGCGUUGAAAGGCUGUGUUUGCAAAUAUUUGGUUUUCUAUUUUGAAUAAAACAAAAAAGAGUCAUAAAUAAGUCGGGUGAUGCUGUUUUGUAUAAAAAUAGCUGAAUAUUCCCAAAAGAGACGCCGGAAGGCUGACUUUGUACAAACAGCUAUCUUAAGGCCAUUUAUAGAUUUUAACCGAUCAACCCACACAGCCUUAAAAUCUUCAUCCCUGAGGCGAUGAAAGGCCGUGUUUGCAAAACCAAGUCUCUUAUUUUAAUUUGAAAAAAAAUAAAAGAGUUAGGGGGCAAGUGAAUACCAUUUGGAUUUUGGUCAAAAUAAGCCGAGCCAGUUUCGGCAGUGUAUUAAACUGUUCUUCCCAAGAUAGCCUUAGAGUAUAUUUCAGUUGUGGAAAGGCUAUUUUCGUAAAAGAACGUACCAGUUUGUAGUGUCAUAAAAUAAUCCUCCACGACCUCGAAAUGAUUGUGAAAUUGGGAAGGGGCCAUAUAUUCAAAAUAGCCAUUUGGCUGAAAGUGGCCAAUAGGUAAAUGAAUCUGUUUGUUUGUUUUUGAGUUUGUAAUUCCUUUGAUAAAAUAUGCGGGUUGUUUGAUUUUCGAUUCUGUAUAUUGUCUUUUCGUCAGAUUUUGAUAGUUUGGUCAGUUUUUAAACUAGUGUAAUUAAAGUUGCUUUUAUUAUGAAAGCUGAAAAUUCCAAAAAAAAUGUUUUAUUGUGGAUUACCUUUUAUUGGUCCGAACUACGCAAGGUCUGAUUCAUGCGAGGUAAUGUUACGUAG
This 896-nucleotide long non-coding RNA is filed under the name Nicotiana benthamiana. RNAcentral describes it as "long non-coding RNA (NBEN_LNC017295)". The record is from RNAcentral. Lineage: Eukaryota; Viridiplantae; Streptophyta; Magnoliopsida; Solanales; Solanaceae.